Molecule: long non-coding RNA, 1101 nt
Filed under: Heterocephalus glaber (naked mole-rat)
Lineage: Eukaryota; Metazoa; Chordata; Mammalia; Rodentia; Bathyergidae
Description: lncRNA (ENSHGLG00100036907.1)
Source: RNAcentral
CAUUUGUUAGCUGCGCGACCUUCACAACUAACGCAGCGCCGGCACCCUGUCCUCAUCUGGGAAGCAGGUUAAUGACUGCUGUGGGGACCAAAUAACCCUCUGCCUGUGCUUUAGAUGCACACAGAAUGCCGAGCACGCAGCAAGCCCGCUUCUCGUUCCUCCACACCGUCCCCAUUCUCUGUCCCCGGGGCAGCAGCCCUCAUGCACUCGAGCAGGACCCCAUCUGCCCCUGCAUCUCCGUGUGCAGCUCUUGCGAGGCCAGACGGCCACACACGGAUCAUCCUUCUGCCCGGAGGAGGAUUCUCAGGUCCACACUUUUUCUUGGCAGGUCUUGUUUUUGUUUUGCUUUGCUUUGUAAAUGAACUGGCUUUCUGAUCACUGGGACUUCCAUCCUCAGUGGGACACAAGAUCACCUGAUCCAGAAGCUCCCAGUUCCCUCAAGUGGCCAAAGCAGGUAGGGAGUGGCAACGGCAGACCACACGGCAGGGGGGGACCCCAGGCCAGUGACCAGCUUCUGCCCCAGCCAGGUUUUGGAGCUGGAGGAGCAGCCCUGCCUUGGGAGGAGCUGCCCCGUACCCUGCCAAGUCUACACAGUGACUCACAGGUAUUACUGUACCAGGAAAGGGUGGAGAGCAGCACCCAGAACUGUGGGCAGUGAGCGGACAGUGACCCCACAUGAUGCGGAAACCUAGGCUCCACUCCAGGGCCUCAGGUGGUCCAGGGACCACCCUGGUCUCUGAAUGUACAAAUGAAAUGGGAUAUGGAUUAAAGUCAGAUCCAGACUCUGGUCUCCUGGAAGCUGGAGGUCAUCACAGGCUCACGCUGCGUCCUCGGGUGUGGGCAAAGGCCAGAACCGUUGGACGAACACACCAGUUGUCCCCACAGGCCCCUGGGCCAGAUGCCAGUUACAGACAUCCCAGGGAAGAAUAGCCAGACCGAGUUCCACCAUGAGAGUCCUACAGGAAGCGGAGAGCUGAUCCUUGGAGCUGCCCUUAUGUGUCAGUCUGGCCCGAAAAGAGCAGACGGCCCUCACCUUGGUCAGCAUCUGGGACACAGACGAUAUCCCGGAGGAUCUGCUAGCAGACUGCAUGUGAGUACGAG